GAUGAACGCUGGCGGCGUGCCUAAUACAUGCAAGUCGAGCGAACAGACGAGAAGCUUGCUCCUCUGACGUUAGCGGCGGACGGGUGAGUAACACGUGGAUAACCUACCUAUAAGACUGGGAUAACUUCGGGAAACCGGAGCUAAUACCGGAUAAUAUAUUGAACCGCAUGGUUCAAUAGUGAAAGACGGUUUUGCUGUCACUUAUAGAUGGAUCCGCGCCGCAUUAGCUAGUUGGUAAGGUAACGGCUUACCAAGGCAACGAUGCGUAGCCGACCUGAGAGGGUGAUCGGCCACACUGGAACUGAGACACGGUCCAGACUCCUACGGGAGGCAGCAGUAGGGAAUCUUCCGCAAUGGGCGAAAGCCUGACGGAGCAACGCCGCGUGAGUGAUGAAGGUCUUCGGAUCGUAAAACUCUGUUAUUAGGGAAGAACAAAUGUGUAAGUAACUGUGCACGUCUUGACGGUACCUAAUCAGAAAGCCACGGCUAACUACGUG
This 497-nucleotide ribosomal RNA is filed under the name uncultured bacterium. RNAcentral describes it as "partial 16S ribosomal RNA". It matches the Rfam family "Bacterial small subunit ribosomal RNA", at positions 28 to 507 of the family's 1533-position model. The record is from RNAcentral.